AGGACGAACGCUGGCGGCGUGCUUAACACAUGCAAGUCGAACGGGGCCUUUCGGGGCCUAGUGGCGAACGGGUGAGUAACACGUGAGCAACCUGCCCUUGGCUCUGGGAUAGCCUCCGGAAACGGGGAUUAAUACCGGACAUUCACUUCCUUCCGCAUGGUUGGGGGUGGAAAGUUUUUCGGCCGGGGAUGGGCUCGCGGCCUAUCAGCUUGUUGGGGGGGUAACGGCCCACCAAGGCGACGACGGGUAGCC
RNAcentral lists this ribosomal RNA (252 nucleotides) under uncultured bacterium. RNAcentral's name for it is "partial small subunit ribosomal RNA". It matches the Rfam family "Bacterial small subunit ribosomal RNA", at positions 26 to 288 of the family's 1533-position model. The record is from RNAcentral.